AUGGCAACCCUUCGAGUCGACGAAAUUCAUAAAAUUCUCCGCGAACAUAUUGAACAAUAUAAUAGGAAAGUAGGGAUUGAGAAUAUAGGUCGCGUAGUUCAAGUGGGGGAUGGGAUUGCUCGUAUUAUAGGUCUUGGUGAAAUAAUGUCAGGUGAAUUAAUCAAAUUUGCAGAAGGUACUAGGGGUAUUGCUCUGAAUUUGGAAUCCAAAAAUGUUGGGAUUGUAUUAAUGGGCGAUGGGUUGAUGAUACAAGAGGGAAGUUUUGUAAAAGCAACAGGAAGAAUUGCUCAGAUACCCGUGAGUGAGGCUUACUUGGGUCGUGUUGUAAAUGCUCUGGCUAAACCUAUUGAUGGGAAAGGCAAAAUUAUAGCUUCCCAAUCUCGCUUAAUUGAAUCUCCUGCUCCAAGUAUAAUUUCCAGGUGUUCCGUAUACGAACCUCUUCCAACAGGGCUUAUUGCUAUCGAUUCGAUGAUCCCUAUAGGGCGCGGUCAGCGAGAGUUAAUUAUUGGGGACAGACAGACUGGCAAAAUAGCAGUAGCCACAGAUACAAUUCUCAAUCAAAAAGGGCAAGGUGUAAUAUGUGUUUAUGUAGCUAUCGGUCAAAGAGCAUCCUCCGUAGCUCAAGUAGUAACUACUUUCCAUGAGGAGGGGGCUAUGGAAUACACUAUUGUAGUAGCUGAAAUGGCGGAUUCACCUGCUACAUUACAAUACCUCGCUCCUUAUACGGGAGCAGCCCUGGCUGAGUAUUUUAUGUACCGCGAACGGCAUACUUUAAUAAUUUAUGAUGAUCUCUCCAAACAGGCACAAGCUUAUCGCCAAAUGUCCCUUCUAUUAAGAAGACCUCCCGGCCGUGAGGCUUAUCCAAGGGAUGUUUUUUAUUUGCAUUCACGCCUUUUAGAAAGAGCCGCUAAAUUAAAUUCUCUUUUAGGCGAAGGAAGUAUGACCACUUUACCAAUAGUUGAGACUCAAUCUGGAGACGUUUCCGCCUAUAUUCCUACUAAUGUAAUCUCCAUUACAGAUGGACAAAUAUUCUUAUCUGCGGAUCUAUUCAAUGCCGGAAUUCGAUCCGCUAUUAAUGUGGGUAUUUCUGUUUCCAGAGUAGGAUCCGCGGCUCAAAUUAAACCCAUGAAACAAGUAGCUAGCAAAUCAAAAUUGGAACUAGCGCAAUUCGCAGAGUUACAAGCCUUUGCACAAUUCGCCUCUGCUCUCGAUAAAACAAGUCAGAAUCAAUUGGCAAGGGGUCAACGAUUAAGGGAAUUGCUUAAACAAUCCCAGGCAAAUCCUCUCCCAGUGGAAGAGCAGAUAGCUACUAUUUAUACCGGAACAAGAGGAUAUCUUGAUUCAUUAGAAAUUGAACAGGUAAAUAAAUUUCUGGAUGAGUUACGUAAACAUCUAAAAGAUACUAAACCUCAAUUCCAAGAAAUUAUAUCUUCUAGCAAGACAUUCACCAAGCAAGCGGAAAUCCUUUUGAAGGAAGCUAUUCAGGAACAGCUGGAACGGUUUUCUCUUCAGUAA
Molecule: ribosomal RNA, 1515 nt
Filed under: Triticum aestivum (bread wheat)
Lineage: Eukaryota; Viridiplantae; Streptophyta; Magnoliopsida; Poales; Poaceae
Description: partial small subunit ribosomal RNA
Source: RNAcentral